CAACCUUCUCCCGCUUCUUUAACACUAUACCACAGCCCACUCCUUAGCCUAUAAGAAAUCCAUGGCGAUAAGAAUCCUGACUGUAGCUAAAAGCCUGAUACCGCUGUAUUGGAGGAGAGAUAUUUAACUCCCUUGUGGUUUCAAUGCAAGGAGGACCUCAUUUUUGUGCCUAUGGGUGCCAUGCAACGUGUCUUGUACUGGCUAAUUGGACCAAUUUGUUCUUUUCUGC
Pelobates cultripes (western spadefoot toad) is the source of this 229-nucleotide non-coding RNA. Lineage: Eukaryota; Metazoa; Chordata; Amphibia; Anura; Pelobatidae. The record is from the annotation of a GenBank genome assembly.